RNAcentral lists this long non-coding RNA (616 nucleotides) under Homo sapiens (human). RNAcentral describes it as "HSALNT0313305". The record is from RNAcentral. Lineage: Eukaryota; Metazoa; Chordata; Mammalia; Primates; Hominidae.
AACUAAUGAUUUAAUUUUAAAUCAAGGUAUGUUAUUAUUAAAUAUUCAUUUUCCAUUUUAUUUAAUAAAUAUUUAUUAAGCAUCUUUUAUGUGCGGAUGGAGAUACGCUGGUAUACACAGAUAAACAAGUCAAAGUGUUGUACUAGAAAUUCUGGUAGUUCAAAUGGUAAAAACUCAAUUCAAACCAGUUUAAGUAAAAUGAAGGAAGGAGCCGGGUCUGGGGGAGUUGUGCUUUUAUCCCCAGGCCCAACUGAGUUUCCAGAUGCUCACACAACUAUUAUGUUGUUUCAGCAUUGGUCCUAUUUGUAAGCAGUAUCCUCCCCCCAGUUGGUAGCAAGUUGGACACUGGCAGUUCAAGGCGUUCAUCAUUGUCACAGCUUAUUAUCCCUGUGAAAGUAGUCCCCUACUCCACAGUUUAAAGAAAUUCUUGGCGGGGCGCGGUGGCUCACGCCUGUAAUCCCAGCACUUUGGAAGGUCGAGGGGGGGCGGAUCACGAGUUGAGGAGAUGGAGCCCAUCCUGGCUAACACGGUGAAACCUCGUCUCUACUAAAAAUACAAAAAAUCAGCCGGGCGUGGCGGCGGGCGCCUGUAGUCCCAGCUACUCGGCAGGCUGAGG